UACGGAGGGUGCAAGCGUUAAUCGGAAUUACUGGGCGUAAAGCGCGCGCAGGCGGUCUGUUAAGUCGGAUGUGAAAUCCCCCGGCUGAACCUGGGAACUGCAUUAGAAACUGGGAGGCUGGAGUAUGGGAGAGGGAGGUAGAAUUCCAGGUGUAGCGGUGAAAUGCGUAGAGAUCUGGAGGAAUACCGGUGGCGAAGGCGGCAUCCUGGACGAAGACUGACGCUGAGGUGCGAAAGCGUGGGGAUCAAACAGG
Molecule: ribosomal RNA, 253 nt
Filed under: uncultured bacterium
Lineage: Bacteria
Description: partial 16S ribosomal RNA
Rfam family: Bacterial small subunit ribosomal RNA
Source: RNAcentral